RNAcentral lists this long non-coding RNA (1149 nucleotides) under Calidris pygmaea (Spoon-billed sandpiper). Its description in RNAcentral is "lncRNA (ENSCPGG00000017696.1)". The record is from RNAcentral. Lineage: Eukaryota; Metazoa; Chordata; Aves; Charadriiformes; Scolopacidae.
AUGGGGGACACACCCCCCCCCGCCUGGGUAGUGUGCCCAGAGGUGGGGAUUGCACCCACUGACGGACACACUGAUGGACGCACACCCCACUGUGUCCACGCACCCACGGGCGAUGCAGGCACACCCCGCCAUGUCCCUGCACCCACGGGUGAUGUGUGCACACCCCACCCUGUCCAUGCACCCAUGGCUGAAGCAUUCACACCCCGCCGUGUCCGUGCACCCACAGGCGAUACAGGCACACCCCGCCGUGUCCAUGCACCCACGGGUGAUGUGUGCACACCCUGCCAAGUCCCUGCAUCCACGACUGAUGGAUGCAUGCCCCGUUGUGUCCACGCACCCAGAAUGAUGGACGCACACCCUGCCAUGUGCCUGCACCCACGGCUGAUGUGUGCACACCCUGCCGUGUCCAUGCACCCAUGGCUGAAGCAUUCACAACCUGCCGUGUCCAUGCACCCACGGGCGAUGCAGGCACACCCUGCCGUGUCCCUGCACCCACGACUGAUGUGUGCACACCCCACCAUGUCCAUGCACCCACGGCUGAAGGAUGCACACCCUGCCGUGUCCAUGCACCCACAGCUGUUGUGUGCACACCCCACUGUGUCCAUACACCCACGGGCGAUGCAGGCACACCCCACCAUGUCCAUGCACCCACGGCUGAAGCAUUCACACCCCGCCGUGUCCAUGCACCCACGGGCGAUGGAUGCACGCCCCAUCGUGUCCACGCACCCACGGGCGAUGCAGGCACACCCUGCCGUGUCCAUGCACCCACAGCUGAUGUGUGCACACCCCACCCUGUCCAUGCACCCACGGCUGAAGGACGCACACCCUGCCGUGUCCAUGCACCCACGGCUGAUGCAGGCACGCCCCGCCGUGCCCAUGCACCCACGGGCGGCGGACGCACGCCCCCUCACCGGGACACCCGUGGCGGUGCCCGCAGGCCCGGUGCCUGCCCAGGGGCGGUGCGGGGGGCGCAGGGACCCGCGGCCCGCGCUCACCUGGCUCGGCGCUGCCCGCCCGCACCGCUCCCCAGGGCUGUCCCGCCGAGGGGUGGCGGCACGGCCACCUCCCCUGCCAGUCCCCCGCGCCGCCGGGCGGCGCCACGCCGCCAGCCUCCAUCCGCGCCCGCCGUUGGCUGACUCCGCAGCGACC